Molecule: ribosomal RNA, 254 nt
Filed under: uncultured bacterium
Lineage: Bacteria
Description: partial 16S ribosomal RNA
Rfam family: Bacterial small subunit ribosomal RNA
Source: RNAcentral
AGGCGAAGCCGCGAGGUGGAGCAAAUCCCAAAAAUAACGUCUCAGUUCGGAUUGUAGUCUGCAACUCGACUACAUGAAGCUGGAAUCGCUAGUAAUCGCGAAUCAGAAUGUCGCGGUGAAUACGUUCCCGGGCCUUGUACACACCGCCCGUCACACCAUGGGAGUCAGCAACGCCCGAAGCCGGUGACCCAACCGAAAGGAGGGAGCCGUCGAAGGUGGGGCCGAUAACUGGGGUGAAGUCGUAACAAGGUAGC